This 381-nucleotide unclassified non-coding RNA is filed under the name Hevea brasiliensis (rubber tree). Lineage: Eukaryota; Viridiplantae; Streptophyta; Magnoliopsida; Malpighiales; Euphorbiaceae. The record is from RNAcentral.
CUAAAAACCAGUAAUAACAUGUCGGCCUUUAUUAAAAAUUUUGCUUACCAGUCAUUUUACAAUAUGGUUGGCAUCCAGUGGUUGAUCAUGCAUUAGUGCUUUGUGCAUGAUUUUCAGUUUUUGUUCUCAUUCAUGCACUUCUAAAAGGCACUAAGGUUAGGAGUUGGUCUAAUUGUUCGUCAUUGUAUGCUGUAGAAGGUAAGCGCCAAAUCAAUUUCCCAUAAAAUUGGUAUAUCUUGAGUAUCUAAUGUCAAGUUAAGAUUACUCAUAAAAGGAAAUUUGAAAACUAACAUUGUAUGGUACAUGAUUCCAAUAUGUUUAUUUAUUUUUGCAUGGUUGCUUGGAUUAGUGGUUUAAUACAUUUUUUUUUUAUUUCCUUCC